RNAcentral lists this ribosomal RNA (330 nucleotides) under uncultured bacterium. Its description in RNAcentral is "bacterial SSU rRNA". It matches the Rfam family "Bacterial small subunit ribosomal RNA", at positions 568 to 898 of the family's 1533-position model. The record is from RNAcentral.
UCCGUAGGCGGUGCGGCAAGUCGGAAGUGAAAUCUCUGGGCUUAACCCAGAGGCUGCUUCCGAAACUGCCGUGCUCGAGUGUGAGAGAGGCGAGUGGAAUUACGGGUGUAGCGGUGAAAUGCGUAGAUAUCCGUAGGAACAUCCGAGGCGAAAGCGGCUCGCUGGAUCACAACUGACGCUGAGGGACGAAAGCUAGGGGAGCAAACAGGAUUAGAUACCCUGGUAGUCCUAGCCCUAAACCAUCAGGACUUGGGGUUUGCCCUGUACGGGGCAAGUCCCGGAGCUAACGCGUUAAGUCCUGCGCCUGGGGAGUACGGUCGCAAGGCUGAA